Topomyia yanbarensis is the source of this 693-nucleotide long non-coding RNA. RefSeq lists it as uncharacterized. The record is from RefSeq and is a predicted model, not a curated record. NCBI's taxonomy places the organism in Eukaryota, Metazoa, Arthropoda, Insecta, Diptera, Culicidae. The transcript is spliced from 3 exons.
UUUUACAAUUAUAGAAUGAGUGACUCCGGUCCCUUCAGAUUUGACCGCACUCACCACUUGAUGGCGCCUGUGAACAGACAAUCAUCAACGCAGGCGAGGAAAUUCAUAAAAAGUUCUAUAGAUACUGUAGUUGCCUUAGUUACUCGCAUUAGUCAAAACAGUGAAAAUGGUGUCAAAUCAACAACAAAUGUCCAUCUACUUCUCAAUGGUACCAGUCUUCACUGUAAACCUGUGACUGGCGGACUGCUAUGGACACGUAUUGCCAUCGAGCAGAAGGGUUGAAGAUUUCUACGAUUUCAUAGCGAUUAUCUCCAAGGUUAAAUGGUAGAUCAGGAUACACCUAGAGCGCUGGUGGAGCCACAUAAGCUAAUCAGCGAGUGAGGAUAUACGGUUUACGUUGUGGAUAAAUAAAGACUUUGACUGUGCGCCGUAUUUACCAACACCGCCUUUAAACUGUGAAGCAAUGCUUGUGAAGAUGGCUCACAGUAAAAGUCAAUUUAUAUCGACUUGCUAGUCGACUUCGUCAGCAUGCACAGGCUAACAUGUCCUUGAUAAGAAAACCGCAGUAGAAAGAGGAUUUUUAUCACUAUUGUUUUCUAUAUAUUUGUAAUGCUUUGUAAGGAGAUGGCGCCGAUGUACAAUCUAAUAACAUUCAGGGUGAUCUUUUCGAUUCCAUGGACACAGGCUAAAAGA